UCCACUGUCGCGUUUUUCUUACGUGCGUAUACGCACGUAAAAGUUCAAAUCUAUUUAAAAGUUGUUUAUAUUAUGAAGUAAUUAAGUGAAUAAAAUGACAGCAUUUAGUUUAUAAAAUUUAAAAAGAUUUAAACUUUUACGUGCGUAUACGUACGUAAGAAAAACGCGACAGUGGA
This is a non-coding RNA of Paramuricea clavata, 176 nucleotides long. NCBI's taxonomy places the organism in Eukaryota, Metazoa, Cnidaria, Anthozoa, Malacalcyonacea, Plexauridae. The record is from the annotation of a GenBank genome assembly.